GAUGGCCAACAUCCAUGACCUGGAUGGCAGCUGAAGACUCUAACUUGAUCUCGCUAGCUUGCUGUGUGACCUGGAAAAGCCCCUGCCACGCCCCAGUACACCUGCCUCUUCACUAUACACAGGGAGAUUGGCUCUGGCUGGAGACACUGAGGCCAGAGAGGAACAGUGACUUGCCUAAGGCCACACAAUCUGAAAUCGGGGAGCCAGCAUUUGAACCCUAGAAAUAUGGUGGCCAAAUCCAUUCUAUUAACUUCCAGGAUACACGACCUAUAAAGUGUUGUAGGCCGGAAAGGAGCAACCCGUUUUCAAGUGGAAGCUCAGACGCCCAAUACUCUCAGCCUCUGUCCAGAAGCCUUCAGUGGUCCCUGGGUGGGGAGUAAGGAACAGUAGAGGCAGGUGGCAGCUUUCCUGUUCCCAGUAUUAGCUGCUUGGGUUCUGUGCCUGGCUCUGCUCUGGCACCCUGAGAAAGCCCCUCCCCCAUCAAUUUCCCCAUCUGUGAAGUGGAGAGGUAUUUAGCUGUACCUACACUUUGGUCUUCUUGUGCCAUCCCUUCUCCUCAAUUGCAUUCAGGGCUUAUCCCACCCCGACCCCUAGUCUCCAGGUCUCCCUUCCUCUUUUCUACUCAGUAUGAAGCACCCUCAGCUGUCUUCAGAGUUCCUCUUUCCAGGCUCUACUGCAUCUGGACCUCCAUCCCUACCCAAAUCCUACUUCCACUAUUAUAAAAUAUAUUGCAUUCCUUAGAUAUUUGUGAUUAUUUGAAAGUCAUAUUAAAACAGAAGACUUCAUAUAUAUAUCCAUAUAAACACCACAUUCAUCAAAAUAUAGAAUAUUUCCAUCACCUCAGAAAUUUCCUUGAUACCCUGUACCUCUUUCCCACUAAGCUGCCUAGU
Long non-coding RNA from Balaenoptera musculus (blue whale), 890 nucleotides. RefSeq lists it as uncharacterized. Lineage: Eukaryota; Metazoa; Chordata; Mammalia; Artiodactyla; Balaenopteridae. The transcript has 3 exons. The record is from RefSeq and is a predicted model, not a curated record.